RNAcentral lists this unclassified non-coding RNA (253 nucleotides) under Uncultured Salinisphaeraceae bacterium. RNAcentral's name for it is "contains 16S-23S intergenic spacer region". It matches the Rfam family "Bacterial small subunit ribosomal RNA", at positions 524 to 776 of the family's 1533-position model. The record is from RNAcentral. Lineage: Bacteria; Pseudomonadati; Pseudomonadota; Gammaproteobacteria; Salinisphaerales; Salinisphaeraceae.
UACGGAAGGUGCGAGCGUUAAUCGGAAUUACUGGGCGUAAAGCGUGCGUAGGCGGCCCUGUGUGUCGGAUGUGAAAGCCCCGGGCUUAACCUGGGAAUUGCAUUCGAAACUGCAGAGCUCGAGUGUGGUAGAGGAAGAUGGAAUUCCACGUGUAGCGGUGAAAUGCGUAGAUAUGUGGAGGAACACCGAUGGCGAAGGCAGUCUUCUGGGCCAACACUGACGCUGAGGCACGAAAGCGUGGGUAGCGAACAGG